Molecule: ribosomal RNA, 346 nt
Filed under: uncultured bacterium
Lineage: Bacteria
Description: partial 16S ribosomal RNA
Rfam family: Bacterial small subunit ribosomal RNA
Source: RNAcentral
CCUACGGGAGGCUGCAGUGAGGAAUAUUGGUCAAUGGGCGAGAGCCUGAACCAGCCAAGUCGCGUGAGGGAGGACUGCCCAAUGGGUUGUAAACCUCUUUUGUCGGGGAGCAAAAGCCGGACGGGUCCGGCUGUGAGAGUACCCGAAGAAAAAGCAACGGCCAACUCCGGGACAGCAGCCGCGGUAAUACGGCGGAUGCGAGCGUUAGCCGGAUUUAUUGGGGUUUAAGGGGGCGCAGGCGGAUUUUUAAGUCAGCGGGCAAAUCGUGGGGCUCAACCCCAGCCAGCCGUUGAAACUGGGGGUCUAGAUUGUGCGAGAGUUAUGCGGCAUGCGUGGUGUAGCGGUG